This 441-nucleotide ribosomal RNA is filed under the name uncultured Caldilineaceae bacterium. RNAcentral's name for it is "bacterial SSU rRNA". It matches the Rfam family "Bacterial small subunit ribosomal RNA", at positions 338 to 795 of the family's 1533-position model. Lineage: Bacteria; Bacillati; Chloroflexota; Caldilineae; Caldilineales; Caldilineaceae. The record is from RNAcentral.
CCUACGGGCGGCUGCAGUGAGGAAUAUUGGGCAAUGGGGGCAACCCUGACCGAGCAACGCCGCGUGGAGGAUGACGGUUUUCGGAUUGUAAACUCCUUUUCUCAGGGAAGAGCGAGGACGGUACCUGGGGAAUAAGUCACGGCUAACUACGUGCCAGCAGCCGCGGUAAUACGUAGGUGGCAAGCGUUAUCCGGAAUUACUGGGCGUAAAGCGCACGCAGGUGGCUGCUUAAGUCUGACGUGAAAGCUCCUGGCUUAACUGGGAGAGGUCGUUGGAGACUGGGCGGCUUGAGGCGAGGAGAGGGGUGUAGAAUUCCCGGUGUAGUGGUGGAAUGCGUAGAGAUCGGGAGGAAUACCAGUGGCGAAAGCGGCACCCUGGCCUUGGCCUGACGCUCAGGUGCGAAAGCGUGGGGAGCGAACGGGAUUAGAUACCCGAGUAGUC